AAAAAAAAAAGAAGAUGAUAAUUCCAGAAUUUUUACUGAAUCUGCGUCUUUAUUUCCUUUGUUUCUUCUUUUAUAUUCAGAUUCUUUCAUGUUAUCAGAGCCACGGUUCAGUUUCUAGGAUCUUUUUUUUCACCUAUUUUUAUCAAGAAUUUUCUUCAAAUUAGACACUUUGAGCAAAUACCCACGACUUCCUCUGUACAAAAUCUGUUUCUCUCUCAGAAAAUCCCCAAUCACUGUUUUUCAUCCACCAUUUGAACCACCAUGGUUCGGUGGUACUUACCCCAAACUCACACCCAAUAAUUACAUUGCUUGGAGUCGUUUCUUCCUUCUCGCACUCUUGAUUAGAAAUAAAUCGAGAUUUAUUGAUGGCACCAUUGUAGAACCAAAGAAUUCUGAUGCACUUCAUGCUCCUUGGACAAAGUGCAAUAAUCUCAUCGUUGCAUGGCUUAUUGAGUCUCUUUCACCGCCCAUUGCAUCCACUGUAUAAUAUAUCAACUCAACAGCUCCAAUUUGGGAGAUGCUGAAGAAGAGAUUUUCUCAACCCGAUGAUUCCAAAAUAUGCAAUCAGCUGUUCACCCACUCUAACUUUAUUCAAGUGCUUAUCAUAGCUUAUGGAAAAACCUAGUGAUGUUCAUUUACAAGUGCAUAAAGGGUUCUCAAGUAUUUGAGGAAGGCACCAAGGCAAGGCAUACUAUUGGCAUCUCAUUUUGAUUUACAUUUGAAGGUGUAUACUAACAGUGAUUGGGCUGGUUGUCAAGAAACCAGAAGGUCUAUUACAAGUUUUGGUGUGUUCAUGGGUGAUUUGCUUGUCAGUUGAAAAUCCAAGAAACAAUCUUUCGUGGCAAAGAGCUCCACAGAAGCUGAAUAUAAGGCCAUGGCUGUGGCAUCUUGUGAAAUUGUAUAGAUUUUAUCUUUACUUGCUGAUUUUGGUGUUACACAUAAACGACUAUUUGAUUUUUAUUGUGAUAAUCAAUCUGUUCAACAUAUAUGUAAAAAUCUUGCCUUUUAUGAAAGGACUAAACAUAUAGAUAUA
Molecule: small RNA, 1033 nt
Filed under: Theobroma cacao (cacao)
Lineage: Eukaryota; Viridiplantae; Streptophyta; Magnoliopsida; Malvales; Malvaceae
Description: sRNA Tc01v2_g017350
Source: RNAcentral